UCUGAGGAAGCACAGUUCCCGCUCAGCCCAGUCAAAACUGUUCGCUGCUCUGGCACCCCAAUGGUGGAACAAGCUCCCUCACGACGCCAGGACAGCGGAGUCAAUCACCACCUUCCGGAGACACCUGAAACCCCACCUCUUUAAGGAAUACCUAGGAUAGGAUAAAGUUAUCAGAUGACCAGACUUGAACAGAUCCUCAACCCCUACAUCCACCCUACAGAGUCUGAACCAGUGAGAUGUCAAAAAGCCUGGCUAACAACAGCCUCACCUGGUCUACAGGUGCUCUCUUGGCUAUGGCUGAAGAUACAUCAAUUGGUCCUGCAUUACACAAGCUAGAAACAGAACAAACCAAGAUGGAGACUGGUCCAGAGAGAGGAAUGGCAAUAUCUCUGAGCUGAAGCCAGGGCCCAAAUCUAGCUGGAAUCUACACACAAAAUAUAUUAAGG
This 446-nucleotide long non-coding RNA is filed under the name Salmo salar (Atlantic salmon). RNAcentral describes it as "lncRNA (ENSSSAG00000115761.1)". Lineage: Eukaryota; Metazoa; Chordata; Actinopteri; Salmoniformes; Salmonidae. The record is from RNAcentral.